RNAcentral lists this ribosomal RNA (498 nucleotides) under Pandalina brevirostris. RNAcentral describes it as "SSU rRNA". It matches the Rfam family "Eukaryotic small subunit ribosomal RNA", at positions 1350 to 1813 of the family's 1831-position model. The record is from RNAcentral. Lineage: Eukaryota; Metazoa; Arthropoda; Malacostraca; Decapoda; Pandalidae.
ACUAACUAGUCGACGGGGUCUAUCGCCUCUUCGGGGCAAGGGCCCCGGUCGACAAUGUCUUCUUAGAGGGAUGAGCGGCGAGUAUAGCCGCAGGAGACUGAGCAAUAACAGGUCUGUGAUGCCCUUAGAUGUCCUGGGCCGCACGCGCGCUACACUGAAUGGGUUAGCGGGUUCUCCUUCUCCGAGAGGAGCGGGAAAUCGCGUGAAAACCAUUCGUGAUAGGGAUUGGGGCUUGCAAUUGUUUCCCAUCAACGAGGAAUUCCCAGUAAGCGCGAGUCAUCAGCUCGCGCUGAUUAAGUCCCUGCCCUUUGUACACACCGCCCGUCGCUACUACCGAUUGAAUGGAUUAGUGAGGCCUUCGGACUGGCGGUCUCGGACUGGGCUCCGCCCGCCCGGCCCUCGCGGUCGGCGGCGGACCCGCCCUGACGAGCCGGAAAGAUGUCCAAACUUGUCUAUUUAGAGGAAGUAAAAGUCGUAACAAGGUUUCCCGUAGGUGAA